CCUACGGGAGGCAGCAGUGGGGAAUAUUGCGCAAUGGGGGAAACCCUGACGCAGCGACGCCGCGUGAGCGAAGAAGGCCUUAGGGUUGUAAAGCUCUGUUCUAUGGGACGAAGUCCUUGACUGUGAAUAAUGGUCAAGGUUGACGGUACCAUAGGAGGAAGCCCCGGCUAACUACGUGCCAGCAGCCGCGGUAAGACGUAGGGGGCGAGCGUUGUCCGGAAUUACUGGGCGUAAAGAGCACGUAGGCGGGACCUUAAGUCAGGUGUGAAAGACCGGGGCCUAACCCCGGGGUGGCACUUGAAACUGGGGUUCUUGAGGGCAGGAGAGGACAGUAGAAUUCCUGGUGUAGCGGUGAAAUGCGUAGAAAUCAGGAGGAAUACCAGUGGCGAAGGCGACUGUCUGGACUGACCCUGACGCUGAGGUGCGAAAGCGUGGGUAGCAAACAGGAUUAGAUACCCGUGUAGUC
RNAcentral lists this ribosomal RNA (466 nucleotides) under uncultured bacterium. RNAcentral's name for it is "bacterial SSU rRNA". It matches the Rfam family "Bacterial small subunit ribosomal RNA", at positions 338 to 795 of the family's 1533-position model. The record is from RNAcentral.